AUUGAACGCUGGCGGCAUGCCUUACACAUGCAAGUCGAACGGUAACAGGUUAAGCUGCCGAGUGGCGCACGGGUGAGUAAUGUAUCGGAACGUGCCCAGUCGUGGGGGAUAACUGCUCGAAAGAGCAGCUAAUACCGCAUACGACCUGAGGGUGAAAGCGGAGGCUCGCAAGACCUCGCGCGAUUGGAGCUGCCGAUAUCGGAUUAGGUAGUUGGUGAGGUAAAGGCUCACCAAGCCGACGAUCUGUAGCUGGUCUGAGAGGACGACCAGCCACACUGGGACUGAGACACGGCCCAGACUCCUACGGGAGGCAGCAGUGGGGAAUUUUGGGCAAUGGGCGCAAGCCUGAUCCAGCCAUGCCGCGUGCGGGAAGAAGGCCUUCGGGUUGUAAACCGCUUUUGUCAGGGAAGAAAAGGUGCUGGCUAAUACCUGGGACUCAUGACGGUACCUGAAGAAUAAGCACCGGCUAACUACGUG
RNAcentral lists this ribosomal RNA (477 nucleotides) under uncultured bacterium. RNAcentral's name for it is "partial 16S ribosomal RNA". It matches the Rfam family "Bacterial small subunit ribosomal RNA", at positions 30 to 507 of the family's 1533-position model. The record is from RNAcentral.